Non-coding RNA from Protopterus annectens (West African lungfish), 72 nucleotides. Lineage: Eukaryota; Metazoa; Chordata; Ceratodontiformes; Protopteridae. The record is from the annotation of a RefSeq genome assembly.
GGGGGCAUAGCUCAGUGGUAGAGCAUUUGAUUGGAUAUCAAGAAGUCCCUGGUUCAAAUCCGGGUGCCACCU